RNAcentral lists this ribosomal RNA (408 nucleotides) under uncultured bacterium. RNAcentral describes it as "partial 16S ribosomal RNA". It matches the Rfam family "Bacterial small subunit ribosomal RNA", at positions 28 to 526 of the family's 1533-position model. The record is from RNAcentral.
GACGAACGCUGGCGGCGUGCUUAACACAUGCAAGUCGAACGGAGUGGCGAACGGGCGAGUAACACGUGGGUGACCUGCCCUGCACUUCGGGAUAAGCCUGGGUAACUGGGUCUAAUACCGGAUAGUGUGGGAUGGGCCCGGGGCCUAUCAGCUUGUUGGUGGGGUAAUGGCCUACCACGGCGGCGACGGGUACCCGGCCUGAGAGGGUAGACAGCCACAUGAGGACUGAGACACGGCCCAGACGCGUACGGGAGGCAACAGUGGGGAAUAUUGCACAAUGGGCGGAAGCCUGAUGAGGAGACGCCGGGUGGGGGAAGACGGCCUUCGGGUUGUAAACUCCUUUCACCAUCGACGCGGUAGAUGGAGAAGAAGCACCGGCUAACUACGUGCCAGCAGCCGCGGUAAUUC